CUCACUGGCCUCUAUUCCUACGUCCUUCAUUGUGUGGCUGGCAAGACCUAGAACCUAGAAUCUCUUUGGGUUCCAGUAUUCUCUUUGCGAAAUGGGGAUGAUAACAUCCAAAGUCCCGCCAGCCUCACUGAGAGCCUGGGAAGAUCAAAACACACUGAAUCACAGUCUACCCCGUUCGAGCUGGUAGUUAGCGCAUGUCUGUGACGAUCAGGUGCCACGCUAAGUGGCUUACGUGCACUAUCUCGUCUGACCAUCAUAAGGGCAUUAGAGCAACCAGUCAAUCACGGUUUGCCGAGGACUGAUAGGAUUUUAACCCCGAAACGCCCAAGUCGCUGGAACCCCUUCAGUGCUAAGCACACCAGUUCCACGAGGUGGCAUCCCAGGAGUCGACGUUUUAUGCUGAGCGGCUGUGUCCUCUAAAGCUCCAAACGAUUGGACCCGAAUGGACACCUGACCCAGAAGCAGCCAAUCCAUUGGCUGGACAGCAACGAACGACCUAUGUGGUUCUUGGGUGUGUAGCCUGUGUGCCUGGGAAAAAGGAAGCCAAACCAGUAAUCCCAAAGUCAGACGGUGGAUCUUUUUCUUAUGUUGACAAGGAGGGAAGGGAAGGAAAGGCCCUGAAAACACCGGGUUCUUCCUGCGUUUAACUUCACCCUGGGGAUGGAUAUGGCUUCUUCCUGAUUCAGGCUGACCUUUACCAUACAUCACUGCAAAGAAAUCCCCGAGGGGUUGGUUAUCACGGUGAGCUGCUAGUCAUCUGAAAGGCGAGGUCACUGCCUCUUUGUAAGGUCUGCUCACACUGUGAAAAGGGCCAUUGGAGGCAUGACAAGGAGGCUCGCCCAGGCCGUUCCACUCCGCCGACUUCCAGAUCUGGGCCGAGUCGAUUGCUUUUCAUUUCCCAGUACCUGAGAUCCUGCCAUCACAUCGGCCUCCUUGACACUGGCCCCGGGUUUCCAGACUAGGACAUGGCUCCAGCUCACCCAGUUCACGCGCCAGUAAUUGGGGCCAGCAACAACAUACAGAACCAAAGUCAAGGUGAAAUGUGAACACAAGCAACGAGAAGAGCUGGGUGGAAAGAGCCAGGGAAUGGAGACAUCCUAGCAGGCUUCCCUUCCUCCCCAGUGUACUUGGUGCACCUGUUUCCCCCCAGUGCUACCCUGUUCUGUAAGAUGUAACUCCAUUCAUCCUCCCGGCCUUUCCCUAAGGAGGAAGCCUCCUGAAGCAUGCAGACCAAGGGGCCAACAAGGCGGCAUGGUGCAGAAAGAAAGCCAGGAGUCAGACUUCUUGAUUUCACACAUGACCCUGGGGCUUCUGACGUCCUCAUCUGCAAAAUGGGGACAACAUUCGCACUUAAGUCAGAAGGUUCCUGAGAGGAUUCCGUAAAUUACUCCUCAUAAAGCCUUAGAAGAGUACCUAGCAGGAAGUAAGCACCAUAUGAAUGUUAGCCAAAGGGAAAAGAAGUAUUUGUGUUACAGAAGUCUCCAAAUCUUAAAACAAGAGACUGAAUUCUAAUGCAUCAAGUUUCAAGAAACAGUAAACUAAAUGAAAGGUUUGGAAGCUAGAGAGGACUAUUGUGUUUCCCUAAAAUCACAACACACAGGUUGGCAUCCCCAACACACACACACACACACACACACACACACACAUACACACAUACACACACACACGGCAGUAUUCCAGGGACUGAUUUUGGAGCUCAGAUUUCGGAUUUUAACCUAGCUGUAUUACUUUAUAUCAAAACUUCAGUUUCCACAGAGAUAUUCAGUAUAUAUUUUUUUAUUUUGAAUGUAACAAACCAAUUAAAGAAUGUUUCACAGUAGGCCCCUUUUGGGCUCCCAACCAAAGACCGCGUAUGAUCUCCGAGACCUUUUAGUUUCUGUUAUAGAUACAACUUGUAACCAUGAGGUGACCUAAUUUUAAAUUUCUCUCUGCCACCAGAACCUGAAAUGUAUCUUCUCCAGCAGGUAAACUCAGUCAACUCAUACAAUCUAACAUGUUUUAGAAUAUCCUUCUCUACGGGUAAGAGGAUAAUGGGUGAGGGAGAUGCCUUCAAAUAAUAAAAAGCUCAUGACUCCCAGCCACUUUAUUGUCAGAUGUCUGGACACAGGACGGAUACAGCAACUGUUGGGGUCUCUGGUGCCAUGAUUCUAGAUUUCAGGGACACUUGGGAAACAUAUCAUCGUCCUCAAAAGCAAGUCACGCUAUACUGCAAGACUGCAAGACUCAGGCAGUUUAUUGGAGAUUUAGCCCCAUGAAAAGUGAUUUUUUUGUAGGACUUGGCUCUAACGUACCCAGUGGGUGAAAACUGUCUCUUGAAAUGAAGUUGAUGUAAAUGCCAAAGUCAUAGUGGAGGCACCUCAAUGACCUUGUUCUUCUAAUAUCUAAAUACUAAUGUGUGGAAAACUACAGACUGAUAAUUUGGAAGGAGAGAGCUCUUACUUGAGGAAAUAAUAAUGAGAAAGAUGAGAGAGGCAGCAAAGAUUGAGGACACAUUUUAAGGCUCACUGUUAUUAGAAAUAUGACUUUUCUCAAAUAUUAAAAAUAAACCUUUAAUUCCCCUCA
Long non-coding RNA from Panthera uncia (snow leopard), 2562 nucleotides. RefSeq lists it as uncharacterized. Lineage: Eukaryota; Metazoa; Chordata; Mammalia; Carnivora; Felidae. The record is from RefSeq and is a predicted model, not a curated record. The transcript is spliced from 7 exons.